GACCUCAGAUCAGGCAAGGCUACCGC
RNAcentral lists this ribosomal RNA (26 nucleotides) under Paramontastraea salebrosa. RNAcentral describes it as "partial 28S ribosomal RNA". Lineage: Eukaryota; Metazoa; Cnidaria; Anthozoa; Scleractinia; Merulinidae. The record is from RNAcentral.